This 632-nucleotide long non-coding RNA is filed under the name Homo sapiens (human). RNAcentral's name for it is "HSALNT0373871". The record is from RNAcentral. Lineage: Eukaryota; Metazoa; Chordata; Mammalia; Primates; Hominidae.
AUCUUAGGACAAAGAGAAUCCCUGAUUUAAUGGCAUAGGGUUCUAUACUUCAUUACGUCAUAACAGAGGAUCAAUUUUGUGGCAAAAGAGGUGUGACAAUGAGCUCCUAAUCAUAGAACUCACAUCUUUUACAAUAUAUUGCAUCACAAACACUGACUUUCCUCAUAGAAUGAUGGAAUGGAUACGACAGUCACCACUAAGAAACAGCAGAGAUUAAUAUAUAUGAUGAUUACUCUGGCAUCGUUGAUGGGAGUUGGAUUAAAAAGACAAGAAAAGCAGAAGCCUAUGUUCCAUGUGCAAGUCACAGAUUAAAUACAGAGCAAGGAUUGCAGAGAACACUUAGAAAGCCAUUCCAGUAUUGGAGAAUUAUGAGUUCUCUACAUUCGACAAGUAUUACCAAAAGUCUACUGGCAACAUCUGGACAAUUAAGCAGAUACAAGAAUAAAAAAGACAUAUGCUUUGUCCUCAAGCACUUAACAUUUAGCAGGCAAAAACAUAACUAUAGUCCAAAUGGGAGGUGAAAUUUGUUUCUUACAGGUGCUCAGUGGAAAAGAGAGAAGGAAUGUUAUCUUUGGGAUAUCCAAACAGUGUUUUCCAUAUUUAAUCUUCAUGACAGACUUGCAAAAGUAGAC